UAGGGAAUCUUCCACAAUGGACGCAAGUCUGAUGGAGCAACGCCGCGUGAGUGAAGAAGGUUUUCGGAUCGUAAAGCUCUGUUGUUGGUGAAGAAGGAUAGAGGUAGUAACUGGCCUUUAUUUGACGGUAAUCAACCAGAAAGUCACGGCUAACUACGUGCCAGCAGCCGCGGUAAUACGUAGGUGGCAAGCGUUGUCCGGAUUUAUUGGGCGUAAAGCGAGUGCAGGCGGAAGAAUAAGUCUGAUGUGAAAGCCCUCGGCUUAACCGAGGAACUGCAUCGGAAACUGUUUUUCUGGAGUGCAGAAGAGGAGAGUGGAAUUCCAUGUGUAGCGGUGGAAUGCGUAGAUAUAUGGAAGAGCACCAGUGGCGAAGGCGACUCUCUGGUCUGCAACUGACGCUGAGGCUCGAAAGCAUGGGUAGCGAACAGG
RNAcentral lists this ribosomal RNA (429 nucleotides) under bacterium. RNAcentral's name for it is "partial 16S ribosomal RNA". It matches the Rfam family "Bacterial small subunit ribosomal RNA", at positions 355 to 776 of the family's 1533-position model. The record is from RNAcentral.